This 474-nucleotide ribosomal RNA is filed under the name Salmonella enterica. Its description in RNAcentral is "partial 23S ribosomal RNA". It matches the Rfam family "Bacterial large subunit ribosomal RNA", at positions 1 to 505 of the family's 2925-position model. Lineage: Bacteria; Pseudomonadati; Pseudomonadota; Gammaproteobacteria; Enterobacterales; Enterobacteriaceae. The record is from RNAcentral.
GGGUUGUGAGGUUAAGCGACUAAGCGUACACGGUGGAUGCCCUGGCAGUCAGAGGCGAUGAAGGGCGUGCUAAUCUGCGAUAAGCGCCGGUAAGGUGAUAUGAACCGUUAUAACCGGCGAUACCCGAAUGGGGAAACCCAGUGUGAUUCGUCACACUAUCAUUAACUGAAUCCAUAGGUUAAUGAGGCGAACCGGGGGAACUGAAACAUCUAAGUACCCCGAGGAAAAGAAAUCAACCGAGAUUCCCCCAGUAGCGGCGAGCGAACGGGGAGGAGCCCAGAGCCUGAAUCAGCAUGUGUGUUAGUGGAAGCGUCUGGAAAGGCGCGCGAUACAGGGUGACAGCCCCGUACACAAAAGCGCAUAUGCUGUGAGCUCGAUGAGUAGGGCGGGACACGUGGUAUCCUGUCUGAAUAUGGGGGGACCAUCCUCCAAGGCUAAAUACUCCUGACUGACCGAUAGUGAACCAGUACCGUG